AAAUGUUUUAUAUUUGUUUUAUAAUAUAGCACAAAGAAACAUAAAGAAAGAAAUUUUCCGACGUUUCCGUGUUGACAUUGAGUUAUAUCAACACGGCUCUUAGCCAAUCAGCGUUCAGAAUUUACAAAUGCUAUAUUAUAAAACAGUUUUAAGAGCAUCUUCGUUUAAGAAUAUAAAAAUUUUGAUGACAGUGCCACUUUAAGUAAUAGUUAGAUCAUGAGCGGCCGUGUUGUAUCAGAUAUACAAACUCGAGCCGAAGGCGUGGUGAGGUUGUAUGUCUGAUACAACAUGAUCAUGGACGCGAAUGCUUUAUAUAGCUUGUAUUCGUAUUCUUCGACAUGAUAUUUGGUGAGAAAAUUGAACCUGACGUUUAUGUAAAUCAGUAUGAUCUGUAUCACACUCAUGAUUUCUUUUGUGUUUUAGUAAGUUUCACAAUAUAUCAUAAACAUAUCAA
Molecule: non-coding RNA, 454 nt
Organism: Paramuricea clavata
Lineage: Eukaryota; Metazoa; Cnidaria; Anthozoa; Malacalcyonacea; Plexauridae
Source: the annotation of a GenBank genome assembly